CCUACGGGCGGCAGCAGUGAGGAAUAUUGGUCAAUGGUCGGGAGACUGAACCAGCCAAGCCGCGUGAGGGAUGAAGGUACAGAGUAUCGUAAACCUCUUUUGUCAGGGAACAAAGGCGGGGACGCGUCCCCGGAUGAGUGUACCUGAAGAAAAAGCAUCGGCUAACUCCGUGCCAGCAGCCGCGGUAAUCCGGAGGAUGCGAGCGUUAUCCGGAUUUAUUGGGUUUAAAGGGUGGGCAGGCGGUCUGUAAAGUCAGCGGGAAAAGCCCGGGGCUCAACCCCGGCCCGCCGUUGAAACUGGCAGUCUCGAGUUGGAGAGAAGUAUGCGGAAUGCGCGGUGUAGCGGGGAAAUGCAUAGAUAUCGCGCAGAACUCCGAUUGCGAAGGCAGCAUGCCGGCUCCACACUGACGCUGAGGCACGAAAGCGUGGGUAUCGAACAGGAUUAGAUACCCGGGUAGUC
Molecule: ribosomal RNA, 459 nt
Filed under: uncultured bacterium
Lineage: Bacteria
Description: partial 16S ribosomal RNA
Rfam family: Bacterial small subunit ribosomal RNA
Source: RNAcentral